UGGGGAAUCUUGGACAAUGGGCGCAAGCCUGAUCCAGCCAUGCCGCGUGGAUGAUGAAGGCCUUAGGGUUGUAAAAUCCUUUCGCCGAGGACGAUAAUGACGGUACUCGGAGAAGAAGCUCCGGCUAACUUCGUGCCAGCAGCCGCGGUAAUACGAAGGGGGCUAGCGUUGUUCGGAAUUACUGGGCGUAAAGCGUACGUAGGCGGUGACUCAAGUCAGAGGUGAAAGCCUGGAGCUCAACUCCAGAACUGCCUUUGAAACUAGGUCGCUAGAAUCACGGAGAGGUGAGUGGAAUUCCGAGUGUAGAGGUGAAAUUCGUAGAUAUUCGGAAGAACACCAGUGGCGAAGGCGGCUCACUGGACGUGUAUUGACGCUGAGGUACGAAAGCGUGGGGAGCAAACAGGAUUAGAUACCCUGGUAGUCCCUGAGCGGGCUGGCAAGGCGCAU
This 447-nucleotide ribosomal RNA is filed under the name uncultured bacterium. RNAcentral's name for it is "bacterial SSU rRNA". It matches the Rfam family "Bacterial small subunit ribosomal RNA", at positions 355 to 825 of the family's 1533-position model. The record is from RNAcentral.